CUCCCCUUUUCCAGCGCCCUUCAUCUUCUUAUUCAACUUCGGAAUCGGAUCACGCGAUCAGCGCUCGCAUUCGAUUUGGGUGCUUGCAAGGGACUUGGCGAGGUCGCUGCAGAUCUGAGCUGCAAGGUCGGGCAAUUGGUUUUGAGCUUUUCAGUUAGUUCUGGCGCUUCUGGGUCGAUAUCUGAAGAGGACUUGGGGUGGGGAUUCUUCUUCGGCGCUCGAUUGGGGGUGUUGGGGUGGCAAGCCCAGGGAGCUGCGAGGAUUAAGAAUUGUGGGUUCCAUUGGUGCUGUUAUGAAUUAAUCUGAGUUGUUAAGAAUCUGGGUUGGUUGCUUACACGAGAAUCUAAAAAAAUUCAGGUUUGAUGCGGGUCAGUUCCUGAUCUCAAGGUAACUGAUUUGAAAGCCUUUAGUGAUGAUCGUGGAAUAGAGGAGACGGAAUGUAGUGGCUUUUUUGCUGGAAGAAGUUUUCUUGAAGUGUGGAAAAGAGCGAGUCUAUGAUGAUGCCGGUCUGCACUGACGGCCACGGUGACAGAUGGAUUCUCUGGAGUAGAUGGAAAUGAAUACUGCUCAGACCGUGCUUUUGGUUCGACAUGCAGGGGGUAGUUGAGAAUCAUUAAGGGCAUCAGUGAACUUGGAUGCAGAAUUGAAAGGAUUGAGAAGAGUGGCCGGUGCCGGUGAAGUUAAAGGGUCCACUGGCUUUAAGAAUGACGGCCGCGGAGUGUCCAAAGGGUUCUGAUCCAAACUGCCAAAUAGACAUAUUCCUCAAUGUGUACGAUUUGACUCCCAUGAACAAUUAUGUAUACUGGGUGGGCCUAGGGAUUUUUCAUUCAGGCAUUGAAGCGCAUGGUGCGGAAUAUGCGUUUGGUGCUCACGACUAUCCUACUAGUGGUGUAUUUGAAGUUGACCCUAAACAAUGUCCGGGUUUCACGUUUCGAAGGUCGGUGCACCUUGGGACCACUAGCCUCAAUGCAGCCGAGUUCCGGAGUUUCAUGGAGCAAUGUGCGGACGAGUACUAUGGGGAUUCGUAUCAUCUUAUAGUGAAGAACUGUAACCAUUUUUCUGAUGAUGUGUGUAGAAGACUAACUGGAAAACCCAUUCCUGGAUGGGUUAAUCGCCUCGCCAGAGUAGGCUAUAUGUGUAAUUGUUUGCUACCCGAAGGGCUGCAAGUCACAGCUACUGAAGCUCCAGGAUGCCAGAAUCCAAAUGCAGAGAGCGUUUCUGAGUUUGCGGAAGGAAAGGAGAUGGUGGAAAGUGAGAGUGAUCAGGAGCGUGCGUUAAUUACUGCGCCCAGUGGCAAUACUCAAACGUUAAUGAGGGACAGCUUCAAAGAGGUGGUUUUCAAACCUAUGAAAGACGACGGUUUAUGACCUCUUUUUCAUCUUCUCGUGACCUCUCUCUCCACCUGUGGUCUCUUAAAAAUAUCUUAGGAGAGAAUAGGGCAUGGUGAUGAUGCCUUGCAGGCUGCCAGUCGGGAGAAUACACAGACUGUGUCGCAACCCCCAGAACUAAGUGCUUCGCCUUCGCAGGUUAUGCGAAGAGCUGAUGGAGUGAAGGCACAGGAUAGAGCAUCUGUGAACCCGUGAGUUCGCACUGCACGCCUCAAAUUCACAAUCGUUCCGCUCCAGCUUGUUAGCAAAAAACAAAAUCUGAGACGCUUAAGGCUGGUUGUCUCAGAAUCGUAGGCACUGUUCCCAUUUGGGAAUGAAGGAAAUGGAUAUUCAAGGUAGCAGUUUGUGCUUGUAGAAUUCUAGCUUAAGUCCUAGUUGGAUGUAGCGCUUACAAGUUCCAUUUGGGGAUUCAAUGUCAUGGGUAGAGCUUUAGAGGAUGACGGCACACUGAGUAGGAUCCACUUGUUCUAACACGACCAGUUGAGAUUCAAUCAAUCCAUUGGAAUCCGCAAUGCUUGUGUAUCCAUCUCCCUGGUUAUAAUUAUGAUGACAUAAGAACCGCGUUUGGACGUAGUA
Molecule: non-coding RNA, 1964 nt
Organism: Physcomitrium patens
Lineage: Eukaryota; Viridiplantae; Streptophyta; Bryopsida; Funariales; Funariaceae
Source: RefSeq, a predicted model, not a curated record